UGUAACCGGCCAUAGUUGGUUAAAGGGCCUGUCUAGUAAACAGGAGGUCCUGGGUUCAAAUCCCAGCAG
This 69-nucleotide transfer RNA is filed under the name Perca flavescens (yellow perch). RNAcentral describes it as "tRNA-Thr". The stretch from base 9 to 66 matches the Rfam family "tRNA", at positions 9 to 63 of the family's 71-position model. Rfam says of the family: Transfer RNA (tRNA) molecules are approximately 80 nucleotides in length. Their secondary structure includes four short double-helical elements and three loops (D, anti-codon, and T loops). Lineage: Eukaryota; Metazoa; Chordata; Actinopteri; Perciformes; Percidae. The record is from RNAcentral.